UACGUAGGGAGCAAGCGUUAUCCGGAUUUAUUGGGUGUAAAGGGUGCGUAGACGGAGAAGCAAGUUAGUUGUGAAAUCCCUCGGCUUAACUGAGGAACUGCAACUAAAACUACUUCCCUUGAGUACUGGAGAGGAAAGUGGAAUUCCUAGUGUAGCGGUGAAAUGCGUAGAUAUUAGGAGGAACACCAGUGGCGAAGGCGACUUUCUGGACAGUAACUGACGUUGAGGCACGAAAGUGUGGGGAACAAACAGG
RNAcentral lists this ribosomal RNA (253 nucleotides) under uncultured bacterium. RNAcentral describes it as "partial 16S ribosomal RNA". It matches the Rfam family "Bacterial small subunit ribosomal RNA", at positions 524 to 776 of the family's 1533-position model. The record is from RNAcentral.